CCAGUCCUGUGAAAGCAAAAGGAAAUGAGAGGAAACUUGAUACACAGAGAGGCGGCCAAGUUAAAACCACAAGCAGUGUGUGCCACACCUGUUUUCAAAAGACACUCCCAUUCGCGUGGAGGUUCUGACUUAGGCGUUACUAUAACGUCGCGUUUCAGGUGAGAGCAAAUUUCGCAAAGGGUUCCCUGGUCCCCCCACCCCGCCCCCGCAUCCCGAGCUUAGAUGGGAGCCCCUGGCCCUUGCAGAGGAGGUCUCCUGACCCCAAGCUUCCACCCCUCACGCUGGGAAGGGAGGUGAGAAGCGGAACAUCCCUCAAAACCCGGGGGGAGCCAGCCUAGGAGAGGAGAGGGGCGGCCGGGACACUCACCCCGGCGCCGCCGGGGAACACGGGGCACGGGGCCGGGCGGGGCAGGGCGGCUCCGCUAGGCUGGUCCGGGUCCUCGGAGUCCUGCGCUCUUUCAUGGCCUGCAGGCGGCGAGUCCUCCGGAAGGGAGAAUGGAAUCCUGCCACGGGAGACCAAACACAGAGGUAGAGGGAGAAAAGGGGGCGGAGUUGCGAGGGUGAGCCCGAGGCGAGGGGAGGGGCUCAGCCCUGCGGCGCGGGAGCCACGCCCUGAGGGGACAGAGCUGUGGCCCUGGGGACGCCAAGGCCGCAACUUCUGCAACCAACCUGAGGUAUAUACUGGGAAUACCAACUGUUGCCUUCAGGUCACUACCAAGUUGGGGAGUGGGAGAUGGUACCAGUUCCAGGUAAGAGGAAAUAAACACAUGGCCGCCUCUCUCCCUUACCGAGUAUACAACCUAGACAGUACACAGUGCAGCUACCUGAAGUCUCCGAACACCAUGACAGCUUAAAUACAGGGAGAGGGAUAAAGCUGGAGCCCAGGAAGAUGGGACAGAGGAGGAGCUGAGACCUGACCUUACAGAAUGUUUCAAGGGCACUGAAUGGGCCACGCUAUGGCAUCUGUGAUGAAAGAUGGGCACUGAGGAGGUAACCUCACUUGACUGUUCAGAGGCUGCAUGAAGAGGAAGGUCCUUAGCAGUUAGAAGGGGUGAGUGGCGCAGGGAGGAGCUCAUGUUUCUUUACACAGCUUCUGCUAAACGCUUCAUAUGUGCUAUGCCAGGUAAGCCUCACUAAGCCUGGGACGUGGGGUGGGCCACCUAUUUUCCAGAAGAGCAAGCUGAGUCCCAGAGCCGUUAAACCUCUGUGUCAAAGGCCACAGUCAUGGUGAGUGACAGGGCUGAGGAAGCCUUCAAUAAACUUAUAUGCCUCCAUCAGAAUUGAUAUGAAUGAAACCCCCCAGACUUCCUUCAUUCCUACACUUUUGAAUCCCAAACAGGCCAUGAACUUGAGAAGACAGAAGCCACCAGCAGUGUGAGGGAGGCGUAGAAAUCAAAAUAUUUCACUGUUCAGUGGUUUGCUGAACACAAGACACUCCACCCCAUGUCAUGAGACAUGAAAGAACAGGGGCUGGGGCCCUUGGUACCUUCACAGGUCUCCCUGAGGAGCUCGUCUCUGGCUGACAAAGAUAGGGGGCGGGUUUUCCACACGUCUCAUCUGGUCUCCUUGUCUCUGAGGAGGGCGCUGCCAUCAAGGAUGGAUUGGCCACAGUUCAGCCCAGGCCAGGGUGGCUGUCACAGCUGGGUGAAUUCAUGGCGCUCUCGGUGGUUCCCAGACCUGCACGCCUCUCUUAGCAGAGAAAGUGACUAAGGGGAAGAGAUUUGCUUGGAGUCCCAACUAAGAAUGGAUUAAGACAGACCACUCUUUCUGAGGAAGGGGAAGCCAGAGGAACAAACCCCAGCUUUCGGGUUGAGGGGGGAUGCGGUUCUGUGGGCCCGUAGGGGAGGACAUGCGGAACGCCCCUAUGGGCAUGGGCAGGGGGCCACAGAAACUUCUCUCAGAGGCUCAAAUCCAGGGGCUUGCUCGGCUCUUCAUGGGUGAGGGGCGUGGUCUCAGGACCCCAAUUGGUAAACGGCAAUGGAGAAAGAUCUAGCUCAGGGGCUGUGUAUUUAUAAGCUGCGAAUUACUGAGUAAUUAAAUACAUAACACAUAGAACCGGGGAGUAGACGUGCUAACAGCCUCCCUUAUGUUAAUUGUAUGUGUCACUGAGCACAUCAGCAUCAACUGCUUCAUAUUCGUGAUAAUAGUCAGUGUGUAGGGUUCUAGAACCUCUAGACUGGCACAGUCAGAACCUCAGAGGCCAUCCAGCUUGGUCUCCCAUAUCUGAUAUUAGA
Acinonyx jubatus (cheetah) is the source of this 2234-nucleotide long non-coding RNA. RefSeq lists it as uncharacterized. Lineage: Eukaryota; Metazoa; Chordata; Mammalia; Carnivora; Felidae. The transcript has 4 exons. The record is from RefSeq and is a predicted model, not a curated record.